UACGGAGGGUGCAAGCGUUAUCCGGAAUUACUGGGUUUAAAGGGUGCGUAGGCGGCUAAGUAAGUCAGGAGUGAAAGUUUGCGGCUCAACCGUAAAAUUGCUUUUGAUACUGCAUAGCUAGAAUUAGGAUGAGGUCAGCGGAAUGUGGCAUGUAGCGGUGAAAUGCAUAGAUAUGCCAUAGAACACCAAUUGCGAAGGCAGCUGGCCAGACCUGGAUUGACGCUGAGGCACGAAAGCGUGGGGAGCGAACAGG
This 253-nucleotide ribosomal RNA is filed under the name uncultured bacterium. RNAcentral's name for it is "partial 16S ribosomal RNA". It matches the Rfam family "Bacterial small subunit ribosomal RNA", at positions 524 to 776 of the family's 1533-position model. The record is from RNAcentral.